UCUUCCCCAACUGGCAAGCCAGAGGAGAAGGAACUCGCCCCAUAUAGUGGAAGAGAUAUCUCACUAGACAAACUAAUGAGAACACAAAGCAUAUUGCCAUGUCAACUGUGGUUUCAAAACAUAUUGAAAGAAAUUUCAUUCACAAAAUACAUUUAUAAAAUAAAUAAACACAUUCAAUUAUAGUAAAUUCAUGCACAAGAUUGGCAACACAUCAAGUGUACAAUUCACAAUUUUCAAACAAUACAAUAAAUUCUUAAGUACACAAAGACAUUUGUAUCUAAAUCAUACAAAGUCAAUUCCUCAUAUUUAAAAUCCAUAAUUACAAAGAAAAACAAAAUCCAUUCAUUUAAAGUUCAAAUUAAAUCCAAUUUUAAAACAUAGGAAAGAGAAUAGUUAUGCACAAACCUUAUUUGACUUCUCUAUUCUUGACUUAAUCCUUCUCUUCCUUGGGAGGCUCCUUUCCAAUUAAAGCACAUAAUUAAAGUGUUUCAAUAGCCUUUCAAACCAUUUCUAAUAAUAAAUCCAACAAUUGAAUUCUUACAUACUUAAUUUUACUUACAAAUUCUCCUAAGAGUUAAGUUCUUUGUAUUUGGUAUGUUUAUGGUUACUAUUCAAAUUACUAUUCAUUCAAAAUGUUGAUUUUUUCAUAAUUAGUAGGUAUAAAAUUUCUAAACACAUGAUCCUACUAUAUUUUGGGUUAUAAUUUUGUUGGCAUUGAUUGUCAAUUGAAUUUCAAGGCCUAUUAGAAUUAAUCCCAAAAUUUCAGUUUUUGUCUUUAAUGUUUACUGUUCUAUUGGACCAAUCUACAGUGAAAAUUUGGCUAAAAUUUCUUCAUCAAAGUUAUUCCUUAAUAUGUCUACUUUAAUUCUCUUUUUGAAUCACUUCAUUUGGAGUUUUUUAACUCAAGUUAUGGCAUUUUUACCAUAACUGGCCGAAUUGGUUAUUUCCAAAUUUUCUGGGCAAAAUGUGAUUCUGGCAGAUUGAGUGAGCUAACUUCGGUUUGUAAUUUGAAUAGGUUAUAGUAAGAAUUUGAGUUUGUGUUUCUCAUGAAAGUUGUUCUACUAUGUCUAAGCUUUUCAAUGGUUCAAAAAAUCAGGUCAUUUGGACCUCUCUACACAAAGUUAUGACCAUUUGAAUAUGUACUAUUCAUUUGGUCAAUUCUGUCCAGCAACAGGGUACCAAAUCCUGAUUCAAGCUAAUUUUAGGUCAACUUGGGGUCAAUUUUUGGGCAAGGUUUCAACAUGAAAAAUGUGACAUUAUGACCUUAUUUUCAUCUCUAAUUGGAGCAACAUAAUUCAACUUAUAGCCUCUUAAAUAAACAAAGGUCAAGCUGUCCAGAAUUCAAUCAUUUCACAUUCACACUCAUUUCAAUCCCAUUCAUCAAAUUGCAUUUAUAAACACCCUAAUUGACCAAAUUUAAGCAUCACAACUAUCAAUUGGUCAAAGUCUUAAAAACCCUAAUAUCCACCCAAAACCCUAAUACUUGUCUUCCCAAAAUCAUGCAAUUUCAUGCAACUCACUACCCCAAUCACCUGCACAACAUCAUUUAACCAAGAAUUCAUAUUCAAUUCAGUUAAAACACAUCAAAACUAUAAACUUCAAUGGCUGGCCGAAUUUUCCUUAUUCCCAUACAAGCAUGAAUUCUUUCAUUGCAAUGAAAUUUCAACUCAAUCAACCUAAUUAUGACAAUUAAACAACUUAUAUAAGGUUAAUUGCACUUACCUCUUUAUUGAAUUUCCAAAGCCUCCAAUUCUUCACUUCUCUUCUUCCUUUUUGUUCCCAAAGUUUUAAGCAAGGUUGGAUAUCAAAGUUUUGUAUUGGGAAGUAUGGGAAUUAUGAAAAUUUUUUAGGGUUUUAAGAGCUCCCAAAACUCAUCAAUGGAGGUUUGAGAGAAAGAGUGAAAGAGAGAGGGAGUGGGACGGCUAGGAAAAGAAGAUAAUAUUUUUUUUUUCUAAUUGGUCUCUUAUCUUAACAUUUAUCCAUAAUUUCAAAAUUUUAAAUUAUAACUUUUUGUGAUGUCGUGCUUGCAUAGGUGUGAUAUCAUAAUUCCCUUUAUUUAAAAUUCUUUUCUUUUCCUUUUUCCUUUCCUUCCAUAUACCUCUUAUGUUUUUAAUUAGAUUUUCAUAAUUUUAAUUUCCUAUAUUUUAAUGGACAUUUAGGUCAAGAGUCACCUCUAAGGAUGAAUUGACCAUUUUGCCCCUUAACGGUCUGAUCCGUUUUUUCAAUAGCACAAGGUUACUUCCUG
RNAcentral lists this unclassified non-coding RNA (2245 nucleotides) under Hevea brasiliensis (rubber tree). Lineage: Eukaryota; Viridiplantae; Streptophyta; Magnoliopsida; Malpighiales; Euphorbiaceae. The record is from RNAcentral.